RNAcentral lists this ribosomal RNA (253 nucleotides) under uncultured bacterium. Its description in RNAcentral is "partial 16S ribosomal RNA". It matches the Rfam family "Bacterial small subunit ribosomal RNA", at positions 524 to 776 of the family's 1533-position model. The record is from RNAcentral.
UACGGGGGGGGCAAGCGUUGUUCGGAAUUACUGGGCGUAAAGGGCUCGUAGGCGGCCAACUAAGUCAGACGUGAAAUCCCUCGGCUUAACUGGGGAACUGCGUCUGAUACUGGAUGGCUUGGGUUCGGGAGAGGGAUGCGGAAUUCCAGGUGUAGCGGUGAAAUGCGUAGAUAUCUGGAGGAACACCGGUGGCGAAGGCGGCAUCCUGGACCGACACUGACGCUGAGGAGCGAAAGCCAGGGGAGCAAACGGG